CACACAGGUGCUCGUGCCUGCGGGGGGGACUUUUUGAAGAACAAAUGAAGACACUGACAGUGCGCUAGGAGAGGAUAUAAGGAGCCUUAAAAAUCCCCACACGCGCAUUGGAACGUGCCGGAAAUCAUUGCGCGUAAUAUUUAAGCCUAUUUCUUUUUUUCUAAGCAUUCAUUUAUUACAACCCAUUCCUGGGAAUGGAAGUUGUGGCGUUAAGGUCAAAGCUGAUGCCGCAGCUGCUGUAUUUCAUCCCGACGUGUACACGGCACGCGCGCUUCAACUACGGAACAUGUCCAGCUGAAAAGAAUUCUCCGAUGCGCCUGUGUCCUGUUCCGGAAGCGUUUGGCAGAGUUGCGGCAACCACGGCGGGUUCUUUUAUUCUCACCAAAACAUUAAGUUGUUUAAUGUUUAAUAUCAGCAGCUAGUUAAAAUUGUGCGAGGGGGGGAAGCGGCCAGGACGCAUGGGCGAACAUACAAUAAUAUGUGCAUAUACAUUAUGCGUUUACAGGACGCUGAGAUGGAGGUAUGCUUAAAUCUCGCAUUCUAAGCUUUGUGCGCCGGGGAGCUAAUUGAUAUCCGCCACAACAUCCUCAGCGCGCACGAUUACGGAUCCGCAUCCCACCUUCCCUCCCCCCGGCAAGACACAGACAGUUAAGAGCCGAGGCCACUUUGAGGAGGAAAUAACCGUCCAGAAAACUGCGUCCAGUUUGGGAAAGCUCACUCACUCCCCGGGAGGACGAGCUUGGCUCGGGCGCUGAUUUUAGCCUACACACUUUUGUCGUAAUGGAUCCUUAAUCUGUAACGAGUUGUACCGAUAACGCUGAAGUAAAAUAUAAUAAACACAAUGUUUUUUUGAAA
Gasterosteus aculeatus aculeatus (three-spined stickleback) is the source of this 855-nucleotide non-coding RNA. NCBI's taxonomy places the organism in Eukaryota, Metazoa, Chordata, Actinopteri, Perciformes, Gasterosteidae. The record is from RefSeq and is a predicted model, not a curated record.